Non-coding RNA from Cajanus cajan (pigeon pea), 883 nucleotides. The record is from RefSeq and is a predicted model, not a curated record. NCBI's taxonomy places the organism in Eukaryota, Viridiplantae, Streptophyta, Magnoliopsida, Fabales, Fabaceae.
AGCAUUAGAUCAUGGUGUCGUGGCUGUUGGAUAUGGUACAGAUAAGGGUAAAGAUUAUUGGAUCGUAAGGAAUUCAUGGGGUCCUAGCUGGGGAGAGGAUGGGUAUGUCAGAUUAGAGAGAAACCUGGUUUCAGCUAGAUCAGGCAAGUGUGGAAUUGCAAUUGAGCCAUCUUAUCCCAUUAAGAAAGGUCCAAAUCCCCCUAAUCCCGGACCAUCACCCCCUUCACCCGUGAGCCCACCAAAUGUUUGUGACAAUUACUAUAGCUGUGCCGAUAGUGCCACUUGUUGCUGUAUUUUCCCAUAUGGAAAUUACUGCUUCGAGUGGGGUUGCUGCCCUCUUGAAGGUGCUACCUGCUGUGAAGACAACUACAGUUGCUGCCCUCAUGAUUAUCCAGUCUGUGACAUUUAUCGUGGUGUUUGUCUGAAGAGUAAGAACAAUCCAAUUGGAGUGAAGGCAUUGAGGCGUACUCCAGCUAAACCCCAUUGGGCCUUUGGAGAUACUAACAAGGUCAGCAGUGCUUAAGCAGUUAAAGGGAAUGUGUACGUGCAGAAGGAGCCGAUGCUGAAGUAAAGGGAAGAUGAAGGACUGAAACACUAUCCAAUACACUUCUCCUUUAACUUUCUCAUAUGCUGCUGCACAUAACUUACAGAUCAUUGCCAUUUUAUUAAGAUGCAAACAGAAGUAUUCUGCAUCAAAUUUCAGUCAGACAUUGGCUUUGUACAUAGGGUUAUAUUAUUUAUGCACUGUAUUUGUAUUCAAAUUCUAAAUGGCGAACUUAUUUGAUUGCUGUUAGUUUCCAACUUCUGUAGAUUAUUCUAUAAUGCAGCAAUGCUUGGAUUUAUCCCAUAUUCAAAUGCUAUUUUAGUUACAAUGUGGAGUACA